GACGAACGCUGGCGGCGUGCCUAAUACAUGCAAGUAGAACGCACAGUUUAUACCGUAGCUUGCUACACCAUAAACUGUGAGUUGCGAACGGGUGAGUAACGCGUAGGUAACCUGCCUGGUAGCGGGGGAUAACUAUUGGAAACGAUAGCUAAUACCGCAUAAUAUUGAUUAUUGCAUGAUAAUUGAUUGAAAGAUGCUAUUGCAUCACUACCAGAUGGACCUGCGUUGUAUUAGCUAGUAGGUGAGGUAACGGCUCACCUAGGCGACGAUACAUAGCCGACCUGAGAGGGUGAUCGGCCACCCUGGGACUGAGACACGGCCCCGACUCCUACGGGAGGCAGCAGUAGGGAAUCUUCGGCAAUGGACGAAAGUCUGACCGAGCAACGCCGCGUGAGUGAAGAAGGUUUUCGGAUCGUAAAGCUCUGUUGUAAGAGAAGAACGGGUGUGAGAGUGGAAAGUUCACACUGUGACGGUAUCUUACCAGAAAGGGACGGCUAACUACGUG
RNAcentral lists this ribosomal RNA (505 nucleotides) under uncultured bacterium. Its description in RNAcentral is "partial 16S ribosomal RNA". It matches the Rfam family "Bacterial small subunit ribosomal RNA", at positions 28 to 507 of the family's 1533-position model. The record is from RNAcentral.